AGAGUUUGAUCAUGGCUCAGAAUCAACGCUGGCGGCGCGCUUAACACAUGCAAGUCGCACGAGAAAGUGGAGCAAUCCAUGAGUACAGUGGCGUACGGGUGAGUAACACGUGGAUCAUCUACCUUCUAGUGGGGAAUACCUCCGGGAAACUGGAGACAAUACCGCAUAAGCUCGAGAGAGGAAAGCCGAAAGGCGCUGGAAGAGGAGUCCGCGGCUGAUUAGCUAGUUGGCGGGGUAAUGGCCCACCAAGGCGAAGAUCGGUAGCCGGCCUGAGAGGGCACACGGCCACACUGGCACUGAAACACGGGCCAGACUCCUACGGGAGGCAGCAGUGGGGAAUCUUGCACAAUGGAGGAAACUCUGAUGCAGCGACGCCGCGUGAGCGAUGAAGCCCUUCGGGGUGUAAAGCUCUUUCGACGGGAACGAUAAUGACGGUACCCGAAGAAGAAGCUGCGGCUAACUACGUGCCAGCAGCCGCGGUAAUACGUAGGCAGCAAGCGUUGUUCGGAAUUACUGGGCGUAAAGAGUGUGUAGGCGGUGUUCUAAGUUUGUCGUGAAAUCUCCCGGCUUAACUGGGAGGGUGCGGCGAAAACUGGAAUGCUAGAGGAUGGGAGAGGUAAGCGGAAUUCCUGGUGUAGCGGUGAAAUGCGUAGAUAUCAGGAGGAACACCUGUGGUGUAGACAGCUUACUGGACCAUUUCUGACGCUGAGACACGAAAGCGUGGGUAGCAAACAGGAUUAGAUACCCUAGUAGUCC
RNAcentral lists this ribosomal RNA (756 nucleotides) under uncultured bacterium. RNAcentral's name for it is "bacterial SSU rRNA". It matches the Rfam family "Bacterial small subunit ribosomal RNA", at positions 8 to 796 of the family's 1533-position model. The record is from RNAcentral.